Molecule: long non-coding RNA, 99 nt
Organism: Nanorana parkeri
Lineage: Eukaryota; Metazoa; Chordata; Amphibia; Anura; Dicroglossidae
Exons: 3
Source: RefSeq, a predicted model, not a curated record
UUAUUUUUAAUAUGAAAGGGAAUGCAACGGGUUGUUGUUGCAGGAGAUAUUCUCCAAUGUGGACAGGAAGAAACUCAGGAAUUACAUAACUACAAGGGU